CCCUUAGAUGUUCUGGGCUGCACGCGCGCUACACUGAUGCACUCAACGAGUUUACGACCUUGCCCGAUAGGGUUGGGUAAUCUUUUUAAAAUGCAUCGUGAUGGGGAUAGAUUAUUGCAAUUAUUAAUCUUCAACGAGGAAUUCCUAGUAAACGCAAAUCAUCAAUUUGCAUUGAUUACGUCCCUGCCCUUUGUACACACCGCCCGUCGCACCUACCGAUUGAAUGGUCCGGUGAAAUCUCGGGAUUGUGGCCAGUUCACUUUAUUGGGAGUUGGCUGCGAGAACUUGCUUAAACCUUAUCAUUUAGAGGAAGGUGAAGUCGUAACA
Molecule: ribosomal RNA, 327 nt
Filed under: uncultured eukaryote
Lineage: Eukaryota
Description: partial 18S ribosomal RNA
Rfam family: Eukaryotic small subunit ribosomal RNA
Source: RNAcentral